RNAcentral lists this transfer RNA (95 nucleotides) under Reevesia botingensis. RNAcentral's name for it is "tRNA-Lys". It matches the Rfam family "tRNA". Rfam says of the family: Transfer RNA (tRNA) molecules are approximately 80 nucleotides in length. Their secondary structure includes four short double-helical elements and three loops (D, anti-codon, and T loops). Lineage: Eukaryota; Viridiplantae; Streptophyta; Magnoliopsida; Malvales; Malvaceae. The record is from RNAcentral.
GGGUUGCUAACUCAACGGUAGAGUACUCGGCUUUUAACCGACUAGUUCCGGGUUCGAGUCCCGACUAGUUCCGGGUUCGAGUCCCGGGCAACCCA